UUGUUUUCAUGCAGGGUCCCGUUACUUGGAAGUUGGAUAAUGGCAGGAGGCCGGGUCUAACUAAGUAACGGUUUGACUAGUUAAUAAUUGAGGUUAUGUUGAUUGAGUUGAUAGCAUGCUUGUUAUUGCUUGAGAACCGUAGUAGCAUGCUAAUGGUUAGGUUGAUUGGUUAGUUAGCGAAUGCAGAAUGCUAGAUGAUAUCGCUAAGUUGUGGAUAGUUAGGUAUUAUGGAAUUAGUCUUUAUGCUAGAUUCUGGAAUAUGAUUGAUUGUGUUAAUUUACGAUUAAUACUAGGAACCUUGUGUUAUUUUAUCGGGUUUAUUUUUAAUCAUAUAUUAGCCAUAUAGCAUUUGUGUAACCUACACUGCUAGGCAUGUUUGAGGUAGAUGUGUUGAUUUUUUGGUGACUAUUACUAGGAACCUUGUGUUAUAUUACCGGGUUUAGUAUUAGUCGUAUAUUGGCCGAUAGCAUUUGUGUAACCCACAAUGGCAUAUUGGGGUGAGUUAGUGUUCCUUCAGACCUCGUACCCGGCGGG
RNAcentral lists this long non-coding RNA (534 nucleotides) under Brassica napus (rape). RNAcentral describes it as "long non-coding RNA (BNAP_LNC022874)". Lineage: Eukaryota; Viridiplantae; Streptophyta; Magnoliopsida; Brassicales; Brassicaceae. The record is from RNAcentral.